CUGGGAUUAAAGGGGUGAGCCACUGUACCUGGCAACACCUUUAAAAAUUUCUUCACCCACCUAUCCACCUUUAAAGUUGUUCUUUGAGGGCUUUCAGGAAUGAGGUUAAUCCAAAUAGGAUAAGGCAGUUUUGUUCCCAGGAAGUAUUUAACACACUGGUUCUCAACUUUCCUACACAUUAGAAUCACCUCGGGGAGGUUUGUGAAAAUGCAGAUUGCUGGUCUCCACUCCCAUCCAAUUCAGUAGGUCCGAGCUGAAGUCUGAGAAUUUGCAAUUGUAACAACCUCCCAGAUGACACUGCUGGUCUGGGAAAUCACACUUUGAAAACCACUGAACAAAUUGUCAAAAAAUAAUUGCUGACAGUCAGUAAUGUAAUAAAUCCAUUAGCCCCCUCCAGCCAAGGAGGGAAGACUGGGUAAAGAAGCCAUAGACGGUGGCAGUGACCGGGGUCAAAAGAUGUUGCCACUAUGGGGUUGUUCCUAGGUAUCUAUGGAGUAGCAUACCAAAAAGGCCAGAAUUUUCUGUUGGGUAUUGCUGCUCAUCUAGAAAACACCAGCUACCAAUAGAUGUCCUCUCUGUGCCGAAAUACUGCUUACCUCAGGGGAUAUUGGCUUGCUUGCUUCCUUUUCUGCCACCGCCCUCCCCCACACCCCCCACCAUGCAAAUCCCCCUGGGAAAGAAGAAAGUUGGACAGGAACAAGAUAGGUUAGACACUUACACCCUGGAGAGAGGUCCUUGAGCAACAGAAGUUAUUUGAGAUAUUUUAGAGAGUUUGUAGCCCAAAGAUCUGUCGGAGUUGGUGAUGAAUUAUCUCAGCAAAAAGUGAUAUUGGACCCUCAGUUUCCACACUGUGAUGGGAGCAAAGACAUCUUAGCAAA
This 878-nucleotide long non-coding RNA is filed under the name Homo sapiens (human). RNAcentral describes it as "HSALNT0307621". Lineage: Eukaryota; Metazoa; Chordata; Mammalia; Primates; Hominidae. The record is from RNAcentral.